Molecule: ribosomal RNA, 122 nt
Filed under: Bifidobacterium longum E18
Lineage: Bacteria; Bacillati; Actinomycetota; Actinomycetes; Bifidobacteriales; Bifidobacteriaceae
Source: RNAcentral
UUGCGGCGGCCAUGGCCCAGGUGAGACGCCCGGUCCCAUUCCGAACCCGGAAGCUAAGGCCUGGCACGGCGAUGGUACUGCACCCGACAGGGUGUGGGAGAGUAGCACGCCGCCGCAUCACA